UGGAAGCCGAGCUUCUUCGACGCUGCGAUCUUCAUCGUUUCGCCGGUGCGCGGGUUGCGACCUUCGCGCUCCGGACGAGCCUGGACCUUGAACUUGCCGAAGCCCGGAAGCGAGACUUCCUCGCCGGCCACGGCCGCAUCGGUGAU
This 146-nucleotide small RNA is filed under the name Sphingomonas sp. KC8. RNAcentral's name for it is "Staphylococcus sRNA sau-50". The record is from RNAcentral. Lineage: Bacteria; Pseudomonadati; Pseudomonadota; Alphaproteobacteria; Sphingomonadales; Sphingomonadaceae.